This 603-nucleotide ribosomal RNA is filed under the name bacterium endosymbiont of Onthophagus Taurus. RNAcentral describes it as "bacterial SSU rRNA". It matches the Rfam family "Bacterial small subunit ribosomal RNA", at positions 136 to 734 of the family's 1533-position model. The record is from RNAcentral.
GAGGGGGAUAACUACUGGAAACGGUAGCUAAUACCGCAUAACGUCGCAAGACCAAAGAGGGGGACCUUCGGGCCUCUUGCCAUCGGAUGUGCCCAGAUGGGAUUAGCUAGUAGGUGGGGUAACGGCUCACCUAGGCGACGAUCCCUAGCUGGUCUGAGAGGAUGACCAGCCACACUGGAACUGAGACACGGUCCAGACUCCUACGGGAGGCAGCAGUGGGGAAUAUUGCACAAUGGGCGCAAGCCUGAUGCAGCCAUGCCGCGUGUAUGAAGAAGGCCUUCGGGUUGUAAAGUACUUUCAGCGGGGAGGAAGGGAGUAAAGUUAAUACCUUUGCUCAUUGACGUUACCCGCAGAAGAAGCACCGGCUAACUCCGUGCCAGCAGCCGCGGUAAUACGGAGGGUGCAAGCGUUAAUCGGAAUUACUGGGCGUAAAGCGCACGCAGGCGGUUUGUUAAGUCAGAUGUGAAAUCCCCGGGCUCAACCUGGGAACUGCAUCUGAUACUGGCAAGCUUGAGUCUCGUAGAGGGGGGUAGAAUUCCAGGUGUAGCGGUGAAAUGCGUAGAGAUCUGGAGGAAUACCGGUGGCGAAGGCGGCCCCCUGGAC